UACGUAGGGGGCAAGCGUUGUCCGGAAUUAUUGGGCGUAAAGCGCGUGUAGGCGGCUUGGUAAGUCUGGUGUGAAAUCUUGGGGCUUAACCCCAAGCCUGCACUGGAUACUGCCUGGCUAGAGUCCGGGAGGGGAGAGCGGAAUUCCCAGUGUAGCGGUGAAAUGCGCAGAUAUUGGGAAGAACACCGGUGGCGAAGGCGGCUCUCUGGAACGGUACUGACGCUGAGACG
This 230-nucleotide ribosomal RNA is filed under the name uncultured microorganism. RNAcentral describes it as "partial 16S ribosomal RNA". It matches the Rfam family "Bacterial small subunit ribosomal RNA", at positions 524 to 753 of the family's 1533-position model. The record is from RNAcentral.